RNAcentral lists this transfer RNA (31 nucleotides) under Badis khwae. RNAcentral's name for it is "partial tRNA-Thr". The record is from RNAcentral. Lineage: Eukaryota; Metazoa; Chordata; Actinopteri; Anabantiformes; Badidae.
GCAUUAGUAGCUCAGCACAGAGCGCCGGUCU